AACGAACGCUGGCGGCAUGCCUAACACAUGCAAGUCGAACGAGACCUUCGGGUCUAGUGGCGCACGGGUGCGUAACGCGUGGGAACCUGCCCUUAGGUUCGGAAUAACUCCCCGAAAGGGGUGCUAAUACCGGAUAAUGUCUUCGGACCAAAGAUUUAUCGCCUUUGGAUGGGCCCGCGUUGGAUUAGCUAGUUGGUAGGGUAAAAGCCUACCAAGGCGACGAUCCAUAGCUGGUCUGAGAGGAUGAUCAGCCACACUGGGACUGAGACACGGCCCAGACUCCUACGGAAGGGAGCAGUGGGGAAUAUUGGACAAUGGGCGAAAGCCUGAUACAGCAAUGCCGCGUGAGUGAUGAAGGGCUUAGGGUUGUAAAGCUCUUUUACCCGGGAUGAUAAUGACGGUACCGAGAGAAUAAGCUCCGGCUAACUCCGUG
RNAcentral lists this ribosomal RNA (433 nucleotides) under uncultured bacterium. RNAcentral's name for it is "partial 16S ribosomal RNA". It matches the Rfam family "Bacterial small subunit ribosomal RNA", at positions 29 to 507 of the family's 1533-position model. The record is from RNAcentral.